Molecule: long non-coding RNA, 704 nt
Organism: Hibiscus syriacus
Lineage: Eukaryota; Viridiplantae; Streptophyta; Magnoliopsida; Malvales; Malvaceae
Exons: 3
Source: RefSeq, a predicted model, not a curated record
AACCAGGGUUUUGCAGAGGCUUUCCUCUGUAGGCGUAGCUGGUUUCAAAUUCCAAUUGAGAGAACAAAGAAAUGGCAGCUACUAUUGCAUCAAGAUCUUCUUUUCUUCGUCCAAUUUUCCGAACAGAAACAACAAGAACCAAAAUCCCGUUUUAAGCUCCAAAUCCUUCACUUCGAUCCAAUUUCACUCUUCAUCAGACCCGGAUUUCUCCUUUCUCUCUGUCUCGGUUGGUUCGACGAGAAUUAAGCACGCUUCAACCGGUUCACAGUGCGGUUGCAUCGUCCAUCUUUGUUUACAAGCUUUCCCGUGAUGCCAAUGGUUGUGCCGAAGGUCAAUUUGCUAAUUAUCUCAGUCCCAUCUAGUAGCAAGCAUUUGUAGAGGUUCGGCUUAUUCCUCUCAAUCUAAUGAUGCCUGCUUACUUCAUUUCACAAGUCAGAACUUAGCUUUUCAGUUAAUCAAUUGCCGAAUGUGCUUAUUUACCCACCUUUUACUUGUUAGGCAGUUUUAACCGACUCGUGUAAUUCUUCUCCAUAGUUUGUGACAGUUUUAACUUACAUUGACUGGAUGUUUCCUUGCUAAAAGUUUGUACUGAUUUCAUCAGAAUAGUUAGAGAAAUAAAUCCAUCAUUGCAUCCAGCUUUGAAUACUGUUACAGUUAUGCUGAUGAAUAGUGAUAAAACCUCAGAUUGGUCCUUAAAAAUGAAA